RNAcentral lists this ribosomal RNA (125 nucleotides) under uncultured bacterium. RNAcentral describes it as "partial 16S small subunit ribosomal RNA". It matches the Rfam family "Bacterial small subunit ribosomal RNA", at positions 335 to 458 of the family's 1533-position model. The record is from RNAcentral.
ACUCCUACGGGAGGCAGCAGUGGGGAAUUUUGGACAAUGGGGGAAAGCCUGAUCCAGCAACGCCGCGUGAAGGAUGAAGUGCCUUAGGGUUGUAAAGCUCUUCGCUCCGGGACGAUAAUGACAGU